Molecule: non-coding RNA, 887 nt
Filed under: Drosophila virilis
Lineage: Eukaryota; Metazoa; Arthropoda; Insecta; Diptera; Drosophilidae
Description: Eukaryotic large subunit ribosomal RNA
Rfam family: Eukaryotic large subunit ribosomal RNA
Source: Rfam by way of RNAcentral
ACCAAGGAGUCUAACAUAUGUGCAAGUUAUUGGGAUAUAAACCUAAUAGCGUAAUUAACUUGACUAUUAAUGGGAUUAGUUUUUUAACUAUUUAUAGUUAAUUAACGCAAUCCCGGGGCGCUCUAUAUAGUUAUGUAUAAUAAUAUUUAUAUUAUUUAUGCCUCUAACUGGAACGUACCUGGAGCAUAUAUGCUGUGACCCGAAAGAUGGUGAACUAUACUUGAUCAGGUGGAAGUCAGGGGAAACCCUGAUGGAAGACCGAAACAGUUCUGACGUGCAAAUCGAUUGUCAGAAUUGAGUAUAGGGGCGAAAGACCAAUCGAACCAUCUAGUAGCUGGUUCCUUCCGAAGUUUCCCUCAGGAUAGCUGGUGCAUUUAACUGUUGUAUAAAAUAAUCUUAUCUGGUAAAGCGAAUGAUUAUAGGCCUUAGGAUCGAAACGAUCUUAACCUAUUCUCAAACUUUAAAUGGGUAAAAGCUUAACUUUCUUGAUAUGAAGUUUAAGGUUAUGAUAUAAUGUGCCCACUUUUGGGUGGGUCACUUUUGGUAAGCAGAACUGGCGCUUUGGGAUGAACCAAACGUAAUGUUACGGUGCCCAAAUUAACAACUCAUACAGAAACCAUGAAAGACGUUGGUUGCUUAAAAUGGCAGGACGGUGAUCAUGGAAGUCAAAAUCCGCUAAGGAGUGUGUAACAACUCACCUGCCGAAGCAACUAGCCCUUAAAAUGGAUGGCGCUUAAGUUGUAUACCUAUACAUUACCGCUAAAGUAGAUGGUUUAUAUUACUUGUAAUAUAAAUUUUGAAACUUUAGUGAGUAGGAAGGUACAAUGGUGUGCAUAGAAGUGUUUGGCGUAAGCCUGCAUGGAGCCGCUAUUGGUACAGAUCUUGGU